RNAcentral lists this long non-coding RNA (360 nucleotides) under Rosa chinensis. RNAcentral's name for it is "sRNA RchiOBHm_Chr2g0108441". The record is from RNAcentral. Lineage: Eukaryota; Viridiplantae; Streptophyta; Magnoliopsida; Rosales; Rosaceae.
GCGGACGUCCGCACUUCGCUAAAGUGCAGACGCCGGUGCUGCAGCCCAGUUCAGGCGUCGACGGCGGCGCGAAUCGGAAGGAGGCCGGAAGCAUCCCAGAAGGCUUCUGGGCACCAUUCGAGGUCGGAGGAGGUCGGGGUUGUCGGUUUCUGGGCAGCCACCUCACCUGCAACUGCAGGUUCUGUGGAGCACCUGAAAACCCGUCGCCGGCGACUCCACUCGACCGCAAACCCCUCCGCGCGCACGACCCCUGGCCUCCCUCCGGCAAGCCGCGCCGCGCCGUCGUGGCCUGAGUUGGGCUGUAGCGCCGUCGUCCGCACUUUAGCGAAAGUGCGGACGUCCUUUUUGGAACGCGUCCGU